Non-coding RNA from Prunus avium (sweet cherry), 3686 nucleotides. The record is from RefSeq and is a predicted model, not a curated record. NCBI's taxonomy places the organism in Eukaryota, Viridiplantae, Streptophyta, Magnoliopsida, Rosales, Rosaceae.
UUACAUCUACCAUUCCCUCAAAACCAAAUGCCCAACCGCCAUGUCCUUCACCGCCAAAUGCCCGACCGUUGUUUCCCGCCUCAAAAACCCUCUCUUUCACCAUCACUCUCUGCACACCACUGUCCCUCAAAAUCCCACGAAUUUCACCCAAAAUUUCAAGAGCCCCACGCACCAAACCCUGCACCACCUCCUAGAGCAAUGCUCCUCCAUGAGAGAACUCAAGCAACUCCACGCCCAAAUCAUCCUCCAUAGCCUCACCAAUGAAAACCUCACCCUCGGAAAAUUCAUCUCCUUCUGCUCCGUCAACCACGCCGGCAACCUCCACUACGCUCAGCUUUUGUUCGACCAUGUUCAUGAACCCAAUAAGUUUAUGUACAAUAGUCUCAUAAGGGGCUACUCAAAUAGUGAUGACCCAUUUAAGGCUUUCUCGCUGUACUGCCAAAUGGUUCGUUCAGGGCAUUCGCCGAACGAGUUUACGUUACCCUUUGUUCUUAAGGUUUGUGCUGGGCAGUCUGCGUAUUGGGAAUCUGUGGUUGUUCAUGGUCAGGCGAUUAAAAGAGGAAUUGGGUCUCAAGUUUGCGUGCAAAAUGCUCUUAUUAAUGUCUACGGUGUUUGUGGGUCUAUCCGGAGCGCUCGGAAUGUGUUUGACGAUAUGUCCGAGAGGAGUCUGGUUUCGUGGAAUUCGAUGAUAGGCGGGUAUGCUAGAAUGGGUUCAUGCAAGGGAGCUUUUUUAUUGUUUAGGGAGAUGAGAGAUUUAGGGGUUGGGCCUGAUAAGUUUACCUUGGUUAAUUUACUUUCUGUUUGUUCACAGUCUUGUGAUUUAGAAUUGGGACGGUAUGUGCAUCUUUAUAUUGAGGUUAGUGGGAUUGAAGUUGAUCAAAUUCUGAGAAAUGCUCUUCUGGAUAUGUAUGCUAAGUGUGGCCAUUUGCACUUGGCACAAACGAUUUUUUAUCGAAUGACUCACAAAAAUGUGGUUUCAUGGACGUCAAUGGUUAGUGCAUAUGCUAAACAUGGGCUCAUUGAAUUUGCCCAGGAAUUUUUUGAUCAGAUGCCACUGAAAAAUGUGGUUUCGUGGAAUUCAAUGAUUUCAUAUUAUGUCCGAGAAGGCCAAUGCAGGGCUGCCUUGGAUCUCUUCCAAAGAAUGCUUAAUUCUGGUGCGUUGCCUGAUGAAGCUACCUUGGUUUUCAUCCUUUCAGCCUGUAGUCAAAUUGGUGAUUUGGUCAUUGGAAAGAAAACCCACAGUUACAUUUGCAACAGCAAUGUCGCACCCAGUGUAACUCUUUUUAAUUCCCUUAUAGACAUGUAUGCAAAAUGUGGUGCUGUUGGAAUCGCCAUGGACCUCUUUACUCAGAUACCAGAAAAGAAUGUAGUAUCAUGGAACGUUAUCAUUGGGGCCCUUGCACUGCACGGUUGUGGAUUCGAAGCAAUUAGGAUAUUCAAACAGAUGCAAGCAGGUGGAAUCUGGCCCGAUGAGAUCACCUUCACUGGAUUGCUUUCUGCUUGUAGUCACAGCGGUCUUCUAGACAUGGGGCGAUAUUACUUUGAAAGAAUGGAGUCUAUUUACAGAAUAUCACCUGAAAUUGAGCACUAUGCUUGUAUGGUUGAUCUGCUGGGGCGAGGGGGGUUUUUGGAAGAAGCAAUUAGGCUGUUAAUAGGAAUGCCAAUGAAGCCCGAUAUUGUUAUUUGGGGUGCUUUGCUUGGUGCUUGUAGGAUCCAUGGAAAUGUAGAUUUAGGCAAACAAAUUCUGAAGCAGCUUUUAGAGUUGGAAGGACAUGGUUCUGGGCUUUAUGUACUUCUCUCGAACAUAUUUGGUGAAGCUCACAGAUGGGAAGAUGUUAAGAAGAUCAGGAAACUAAUAAAAGAUGGUGGAGUCAUAAAGAGUAGAGCAGUGAGCUCCAUUGAAAUUGAUGGCUGUGUUUAUGAAUUUAUGGUUGAUGACAAGAGACAUGAAACUUCAAGCAGUAUAUACUCCAUGCUUGAUCAAUUAACAGAUCAUCUAAAGUCUACUGGGCAUCGACUGCUUGUGUUUUUUGUACCAAAAUCAUUGGGGAGAAACUCGCAUUAACUACUUUGCUUUUGGAAAUCAAGUUGAAGAUUUCUUCGUAUAGUCUAAAUGGUCAAGUGAUUAGCUACUCCCGACCGACGUGAAAAGAUGUUGGUCUAGUUUUUAGUUACUGACUGACUGUAUAAAAGUGGAAAUUCAAUCCUUGGGGUUCUUAAGUUGAGUGUGUGAAAAGUAAAUGUGCCAAGAUAUUAAGUUGCAGCUGAUCUUAUGCAAUUAAAAUUAUCACAGAACUAAUGAAUAUCCUACUUCAACUGAGUAGGACAUGUGUUAUGUAACAAGAAGAAAUAUAUUCUACAAGCUGGUUUCUUCCUUUCAGGAUGUUCUGUGAUUCAUGCCAUGUCGGAUGAUCAAGAUAUGCAGAAGAUGGGGAGGCUUGCCUCCUCGUUCCCUUUAACCUAUGCCAGUGUGGAAUUAAGAUUACAGAACAGAGCUUGAGCAACUGAAUUCAGACUAUUUCUAGCUCAGGAAAAGAAUCAUUAACAUGGAAAACAUGCCACAAGAACCUGAUACUAAGUGAUGCAUCAUGGUCAUCACCAAUAAUGUUAGAAGACGAAUUCAACAAAUGUGAAAAGGCACAUUGAAAACUAUGAGUGCGUAACAAAACUUGGAAGGAUGACCACAACCAACUUGCAGAGCUUCAGUCAAGCUGCAGCUCAUAGGUUGUGCAGCGGCUGCAGACGGAUGGGAACAACUAGAACUUCCUUAUAAGUUUUAUUCAAUAUUAUCGAAUGCAAACUAUAUAGUCAAAAGAAAAUCCAAAGUACAAUCUUACCAAAUCAUACUGAGCCAACCAAGGAAAGAAGAAGGAAGGGCACAUCCAAUCCAAGAACCAAUUUGACCAUGGAAGGGAGGUCUUCCCAAAUCUUGAGCGGCUAUAAGAGGUGGGGCCUUGACAACCAUGCAUGGAUAAAGUGCUCUGGAUCGAAGAACUUUCAUGGAAGAAGUGUGUGGGUUGAAGCAUAGCUAGCUAAUAGAAACAGUAAAGGGCGGCCGAGUUUGGAUGGAUUUGAAGAAUAAGUUAAAACAAAAAAAAAACAAAAAAAGGAAGAAGCUUGGCACCGGGAUACAUGGAGCAUGCAGAUUGCAGAGAUGGGGCUCAAACCAGCAGACCCCCCAGAACAGCUUACGCCACCCUUUGUCGGAUUGUUUGCAAAUAUACACAUAAUAUUGCUACUUGUUGAUUGAGUGUUGCACUUUCCAAGGCCCUUCUUUUCCACGUGCCCUUCCUCAUGCCUUGCAGCGAAGCACCAUGCCCACGUUUUCCUCUUCAUUUUGGCCCUUUUCAUUCCAGUCUAAUUCAUUCUCUGCCUCUCUGGACACUGCUGCCCUUGGAGUUGCCCCAAUUUCCCCCUAAUUCGCCACUUGUAGACGUUGCAGUGUAGCAGCCACUCAAUCUCUUUUUACGACCGACUGUAUAUUCACUCUUUCUUUCUUCUCUGUUAAAUUACCCUCUUCCUCUUCCAAUUUCACCUGCAGUUUUGUCUCUGGAUUUUUGAGUGACAAGGCUCCUAUCAUCUCGCUCAACUGCUCCCAUGUGAAAAAUCUCUAUGGAAUGGGAUAUUUUGUGUCUUGGCAAUGUGAAUAUCAUGUGACAAUUAGAAAGUGGCUCUAGGUUUUACAA